Transfer RNA from Cavia porcellus (domestic guinea pig), 71 nucleotides. It matches the Rfam family "tRNA". Rfam says of the family: Transfer RNA (tRNA) molecules are approximately 80 nucleotides in length. Their secondary structure includes four short double-helical elements and three loops (D, anti-codon, and T loops). Further hydrogen bonds mediate the characteristic L-shaped molecular structure. tRNAs have two regions of fundamental functional importance: the anti-codon, which is responsible for specific mRNA codon recognition, and the 3' end, to which the tRNAs corresponding amino acid is attached (by aminoacyl-tRNA synthetases). tRNAs cope with the degeneracy of the genetic code in two manners: having more than one tRNA (with a specific anti-codon) for a particular amino acid; and 'wobble' base-pairing, i.e. permitting non-standard base-pairing at the 3rd anti-codon position. The record is from Rfam. Lineage: Eukaryota; Metazoa; Chordata; Mammalia; Rodentia; Caviidae.
GGGGACUUAGCUCAGUGGCAUAAGCACCUGCCUUACAAGCAGGUGGUUGCGAGUUCAAUCCCCAAUCCCUA